GAUGAAGAACGUAGCGAAAUGCGAUAAGUAGUGUGAAUUGCAGAAUUCAGUGAAUCAUCGAAUCUUUGAACGCACAUUGCGCCCUUUGGUAUUCCAAAGGGCAUGCCUGUUCGAGCGUCAUUUGUACCCUCAAGCUUUGCUUGGUGUUGGGCGUCUUGUCUCUAGCUUUGCUGGAGACUCGCCUUAAAGUAAUUGGCAGCCGGCCUACUGGUUUCGGAGCGCAGCACAAGUCGCACUCUCUAUCAGCAAAGGUCUAGCAUCCAUUAAGCCUUUUUUUCAACUUUUGACCUCGGAUCAGGUAGGGAUACCCGCUGAACUUAAGCAUAUCAAUGAGCGGAGGA
This 341-nucleotide unclassified non-coding RNA is filed under the name soil metagenome. RNAcentral describes it as "partial contains 5.8S ribosomal RNA, internal transcribed spacer 2, and large subunit ribosomal RNA". The stretch from base 1 to 120 matches the Rfam family "5.8S ribosomal RNA", at positions 35 to 154 of the family's 154-position model. The record is from RNAcentral.